GCGAUUAGCAGAACCUCUGUUGAAUUAGGUCAGUCACUGUAAAGGGUGUAAAUAUUCAUGCAGUCAUUUAUUUUACAUCACAUAUUUUUUGCAUUACUUUGUCUUCACUUCAGCUUUGCAGAGAUUUUCUUUUGUCAAAAAGCAAACAUUUACAGUCCAUAUAAGCUGAUAUUCACUGAAUGAAGACAAACAAACAAACAAACAAACAAAAAAACGUUUGUCCCAUGAAAGUAAACAUAACAGAAAAAGCCUGAGAUGCUACUAGCAGCUAACAUGCUAUGAGGAGUUAGCAUUAGCUGGCGGCUAUGGAUAAACCCGUCAACAAACAGGCCUUUACUCUGUCAAGAUGGAGGGUGGAUUAAGACUUCAAGAAAUUAACACCGCUGUUUGAGUUUACGACACGGACACUUCACCGCCUUCACAGGAGGGAAAGGAAGAGCAAUGACUUUGUAAAGAGGAACAUGGCAGUCUUUGUUGAGGACUUCAAAAAGACCACCAGCCGUCCUGGGGCCGCUCUGUCUCCGUCUCUCUCUUGGAUGCCAGUGCUUCAUUCCAGAUGUUUUGGAUCUGGAUCUCAGUCCUCCAGGAGAUUCAGUCCUUGUCUCUCUCUCCCUCUGUGUCUGUUUCCUCUCUGCCAUCUGUGAGGAUUGUUGGCCUGAGCCUUGCCUCUUGUAUGUUUGUGUAGUCUGUCCUUUUGCAGGAUUGUUCCCCUCUCCCAGGAUAUGAAUUCUGUGUUUAUUUCACACUGAUACAGCACAGCAAAAAAGGCUCUUUUUUUAAACCUACAAUUUUAUGCAACACUGUGUAACAUUAACGCACAUCAUCAACCCAUUGUUGCACAGAUUACAAACAGCUCUGCUGCAAUUUUCAGCUAAUGUGCUGCAGACAAUGCUCAAUAAUAUAAAUUAUGGACUUGAAGCACACUGGGCUAGACACUCUACCUAAUAAAAUUCUUUAUAAACCUUUAAAAAGCAAUUUCCUCUCCUUUCAUGCUUUGAAAAUAAAAUGCCUUCAUAUCAAUUCAUGUCAGAAAAAAGUGCCAAACUCAUGAAUUCUAUCUGAUGUCUUUAUUUUGAA
Long non-coding RNA from Cheilinus undulatus (humphead wrasse), 1077 nucleotides. RefSeq lists it as uncharacterized. Lineage: Eukaryota; Metazoa; Chordata; Actinopteri; Labriformes; Labridae. The record is from RefSeq and is a predicted model, not a curated record. The transcript has 4 exons.